GUAAUGUCUGGGAAACUGCCUGAUGGAGGGGGAUAACUACUGGAAACGGUAGCUAAUACCGCAUAACGUCGCAAGACCAAAGAGGGGGACCUUCGGGCCUCUUGCCAUCAGAUGUGCCCAGAUGGGAUUAGCUAGUAGGUGGGGUAACGGCUCACCUAGGCGACGAUCCCUAGCUGGUCUGAGAGGAUGACCAGCCACACUGGAACUGAGACACGGUCCAGACUCCUACGGGAGGCAG
This 238-nucleotide ribosomal RNA is filed under the name Staphylococcus aureus. RNAcentral's name for it is "partial 16S ribosomal RNA". It matches the Rfam family "Bacterial small subunit ribosomal RNA", at positions 110 to 351 of the family's 1533-position model. Lineage: Bacteria; Bacillati; Bacillota; Bacilli; Caryophanales; Staphylococcaceae. The record is from RNAcentral.